UACGUAGGCGGAAAAUUAAGUCAGUAGUGAAAUCCUGCAGCUUAACUGUAGAACUGUUAUUGAUACUGGUUUUCUUGAAUAUAGUUGAGGUAAGCGGAAUGUGUAAUGUAGCGGUGAAAUGCUUAGAUAUUACACAGAACACCGAUUGCGAAGGCAGCUUACUAAGCUAUGAUUGACGCUGAGGUACGAAAGCGUGGGGAUCAAACAGGAUUAGAUACCCUGGUAGUCC
This 229-nucleotide ribosomal RNA is filed under the name uncultured bacterium. RNAcentral's name for it is "partial 16S ribosomal RNA". It matches the Rfam family "Bacterial small subunit ribosomal RNA", at positions 568 to 796 of the family's 1533-position model. The record is from RNAcentral.